RNAcentral lists this unclassified non-coding RNA (341 nucleotides) under uncultured fungus. RNAcentral's name for it is "partial contains 5.8S ribosomal RNA, internal transcribed spacer 2, and large subunit ribosomal RNA". Lineage: Eukaryota; Fungi. The record is from RNAcentral.
AACGCAUAUUGCGCUCUUUGGUAUUCCGAAGAGCAUGCUUGUUUGAGUAUCAGUAAACACCUCAAAACGCUUGGUUUUUUCCAAGAGUUUUGGACUUGAGCAAACCCAACACCUUCUCUCACGAUUUGGCGGCGGGUUGCUUGAAAUGCAGGUGCAGCUGGACAUUCUCCUGAGCUAAAAGCAUAUCUAUUUAGUCCCGUCAAACGGAUUAUUACUUUUUGCUGCAGCUAACAUAAAGGGAGUUUUGACCGAAUUGGCUGACUGAUGCAGGAUUUUACAGAGUCGGAAACGAUUCUGUCAAACUCGAUCUCAAAUCAAGUAAGACUACCCGCUGAACUUAA